This 427-nucleotide ribosomal RNA is filed under the name uncultured bacterium. RNAcentral describes it as "bacterial SSU rRNA". It matches the Rfam family "Bacterial small subunit ribosomal RNA", at positions 355 to 774 of the family's 1533-position model. The record is from RNAcentral.
UGGGGAAUUUUGGACAAUGGGCGCAAGCCUGAUCCAGCCAUGCCGCGUGCAGGAUGAAGGCCUUCGGGUUGUAAACUGCUUUUGUCAGGGAAGAAACGAGUUUCUCUAAUACAGAAACUUAAUGACGGUACCUGAAGAAUAAGCACCGGCUAACUACGUGCCAGCAGCCGCGGUAAUACGUAGGGUGCGAGCGUUAAUCGGAAUUACUGGGCGUAAAGCGUGCGCAGGCGGUUAUAUAAGACAGAUGUGAAAUCCCCGGGCUCAACCUGGGACCUGCAUUUGUGACUGUAUAGCUAGAGUACGGUAGAGGGGGAUGGAAUUCCGCGUGUAGCAGUGAAAUGCGUAGAUAUGCGGAGGAACACCGAUGGCGAAGGCAAUCCCCUGGACCUGUACUGACGCUCAUGCACGAAAGCGUGGGGAGCAAACA